Tympanuchus pallidicinctus (lesser prairie-chicken) is the source of this 1261-nucleotide long non-coding RNA. RefSeq lists it as uncharacterized. The transcript has 3 exons. NCBI's taxonomy places the organism in Eukaryota, Metazoa, Chordata, Aves, Galliformes, Phasianidae. The record is from RefSeq and is a predicted model, not a curated record.
GUGCAGAUUCUCUCGUCAGGAAGAAACUGUAGGAAAGCAUUUGGGCACUACGAGUGACAUAGUGCUUCACUUGGGAAGCCACAUCUCUGAGCAGCGCAGGACUACUGCAGAACCAGCGAGGGACAGCAGUAGGAGCCUGGGUGGACAGAGAGAUCCCACCAGGGGAGCAGCAUGAGGACAUCCUUUCACAGAGGCAGCAAAUGAAGAAAAGAAAAAGGAAGCCACCCCAGCACCUUCUUCCUUCUGCUUUGAUCAAGGCCAUGCAAAGAGUAUGAGAAGAACAUUGGCCGCAGAUCGGAAGACCAUCAUGAGUGCCAUGCACUCUUGUGACCACAUCCCUUCCUUUUCCACAGGCUGAAUGAGGCCCAUUUGCAUUCAAGACAGUUGUGGUUCUGGCCCACUGGAGCUGUGCAGCCACACGUGCUAUUUUCCAUCAGGCUGGAGGUGAGCAGUGACCCUGGUCCAUCUCACAAUCCCAGCUCAAAUGACAGACAUCGGUCCACCAUAGCUCUGUGCUCCUCUCUGAAGUAUGUGAUUGUGUUGACCUCUAGUGGCUGCAAGGAAGAGAGGGCCAGACCUCCAGGUGAAUGAAGCGUACAGAAUGUUACAGCUACGCUUGUUAGGGCGGCAUUCCAUAAAAACCACAACUCAUAUAUUCAUGUUCUCCUUGUCCUCUGUGAUAUAGAUUUUGUGAUCCUCCAUGACACGCUUUGGCCAUUUCACAUUCAUGAUGCACAGUCUUCUGCCUCUAGGAGCAUCUCCAGAGAGGCUGCUCAGGAGUCUGCCUUCACAGUGGGGGGAAUGGGAGCAGGCUGUCCCUGAGCAAAGCUCUCACGAGCCAUUGCAUUAGAAACAGGGAUUUGUAGAUUUGGGUGUUGCAUCCUUUAGGCAUGUUCUUCUUUUCUAGCCAAGGCAUAGAAAUUUUGAUUGGGCCAAGAAAAAUUCUGGCCAUUUCAAAUGAUUCUGUAACUCAACUCUAUGGAACAUUUUCUCUUUUCAGUUAAAAGUACCAUUUACUGGUUUUGCUGAUGAUACAGGUAAACCAAAAGGAUUGUUCUUGGUCCUGUGUGGAAGCAGCAGUUCUUCUGCACAGUCGUGGCCCCAAGGCAGCCCCUGAUGAUAGGUUUCUGGGCUGGAGGUCAGCCCUGUCCCUGUGCCUUCCAGUAGAGCCUGAGAAGACUGUCAAAAGUAGGCAGUUUAUCCCAACUGAAGCUCGAUAUUUAGCUGUAAUUGAAGCCAGUACUGAAAGCCUCUGUUUGGA